This 2911-nucleotide long non-coding RNA is filed under the name Triticum aestivum (bread wheat). RNAcentral's name for it is "long non-coding RNA (TAES_LNC024831)". The record is from RNAcentral. Lineage: Eukaryota; Viridiplantae; Streptophyta; Magnoliopsida; Poales; Poaceae.
AGCCUCUCGCGCUUGUGCUUCAGCAUUGUCUCCUCUUCCUUUUUCCAUUCUAUUUCCUAAAGAGAGAAUUUUUUGGCACAUUUAAAUUUACACGUCAGAUGUAAGUAGAUUGCCGUUUGUUUUCCUUCUCAUAGUUGCCUUUUGUUUUCCUUCUGACACAUCAUCUACAUGUUCCAAAUAAAACAUGGUCAGGUUCAUAGUUUUACAUGUUGAAGGGGGCAAACUAAUACGAAGUCAUGACAGCAAGGCAAAAAUUGGAACCCAAAUUAGGCCAUAUUCAAUUUUAUUUUUAUAAAAAUGUUUCACAAGCAUGAAUGGUAGAUGCGCACGUGUGUACAGAAUGUCACCCCCAUUUGUCAAACCAUCUUUUUGGACUCGGACUAGAACAAAAAUAAAAAAUGAGUAAAUAAGUUCAGGUUGGAUACCAAGUGUACUCUCUGCCUCCAUUCAAACUUCUCCUCCUAGCAUGUUGUAGCCUUUGCUCAGCUGAUAAUUACUUGCCCUGACAUAAUACAUGGAACAUAUAAGAAUCCAUGCUUCAUGUUAUUCUUAAGAAACAGUAACUUAUUGAGUAAAAACUAGAUUGAAGACCCCAACCUUAUAAAAGCAGCAUGUAAUAACAAUUAAACUCUAGAAGAGUACUCCACUUUCAGUCUGUCUUAGCAGCAAAAUGAAAGGAGACAUAAAUAAGUUCUCUAGCUAGUUAUUUUUCUUCCAUCUAACAGUAUAUGUGUGUGAUGAUAGUUGAACUAGAUGAUCUCACAUCGAUCGACCAAUGGGAAUAAACAGCACAAUAAAAAUAUCUUUUUACCCAAAGCAUGCUUGUAAAACUCCUAAAGUGUUUUACUGAUUUAGUAUUCAGUUGUAGCAUCCACUUGUUUAGCACCAAAAGAUUAUUGAAAUCCCUAUACUGAUAAGACUUAAUAAAACAUGUGUGCAUUAAUUGAGAAGUAUCCACUGCGGCACUGCCAUAGUGCAUAGAUCAUUUAGAAGUUUUCACUGGCAGAGAGCAUAUCUACAGUCCUUUACAUACCAUAUAAAUUGAAAUUGCAAACAUUCCCUGGUGCUUCCUAUCAAAAUGUCUGAAGAUGAAAACGAUAAAAUGGACUGAAGAACUGUUCUUACUCAAUUAAAUGGAGAAAUAUUUAAGUAGUGACUACCCUGAGUUCAAGCAUUACAAAAUACUAGAUGUUUCCUUUCAGCUUUGGCACAAACAACACAUGUCCAAGCAUAAUGUGUAUAUAAGUAUGAAAGAUAGAUCACAGUAGCUGAUAGCACAGGCAAGCAACAUAGAUGGGUAUAUCAUAUUCAGGCAAGCAACAUGUCCAAGCAUAAUUUUGGUACCGAUGUGUACUUGUUCUUUAUAUAAUAUAUAUGGGUAUAUCACAUUCAGGCAACAACUUUCACAGAACAUAAAUAAUAAACUUCAUAUCAGAGAACUAACACUUUUGCAAGUUCAAAUCCUUAAAUUCUUGAAGCAGUACUCCACUUUCAGUCUAUAUUUGUAGCAAACAGAGAAUAGACGGAAAGAGAUUCUCUAUCUGAUUUCUUUUCUUAGAUGUACAAGUAUAUGUGCGUGAUGACGAGUGAACUAAAUGAUCUCACAUAAAUCGAUCAAUGGAGAUAAACAAGGGUACUUGUUCUUUCCAACUACAUGUUCAUUAAUGAACUUUUAACAUCCAGAAUUAGCACAAAGAGCACUUAAUCAUAGUGAAUGGAAGAAUACCCAUUGGCACCAAGAAUUAGAGUUGUGAAGAGCAUCUUCAUUUGUACAUUCAAGGACAAGUUCGAGAGAAAAAAAUGUUACCUCAGUAUUGAACUCCUAUGAAACAAUUAGCUAGAUGGUAAAUCAGGGCAGGAAAAGUAGCUACUUUUGUAGAGAAAUUUUUAAUAUCAAAUCCACACUCAUGUCUAUAAAUUUAGCUCUUGCAGAUGGAUCGGAGGCACCAAAAACUUUAUAGAGCGCUACAUUUCCUUGCUACUAUAGUACACAAUUUUUUUAUUUGGAUUAGCAGUCCGCCCAGAAUCCAGAGCAAAUACAAGUCAUUGAUUUGUUCCAUAAUAUGAAUAUCCACCGUUCAUCAGUACUUUGCCCAAGAGAUCUAAUGGUUGACAUUUCUUAGAUUCGCUAUGUACGGGCAGGCACCAAAACAACUCUAGGACCUUUCUGGAAUCCUGACGGCUCCAAAGUCCAAAUGGGCCCACUGGUCAAACUCUGCUAUUCAAGAUCUUUUGUGGCUAUGAUCGGGAAACAACGAUGACUAGAGUAACCUUCCUUCUACUCCAUAAACAACUAGCUAGUACAAAGCACUAAUCAUUUGUAUCUACCAAGUUUCGAAGCAGCAACUUGCCAAUCCUUUGGACGGGAUUUAACAUUCAACAGCAUACAUAAUACUCCCGUCUCAAAAUAAAUGUUGCUCAAGUGAACGGAUCGAUGAGUGAGUGAAGAACACGUGCAUAAUUCGUGCCUUCGACUAGUAUACACAGUCUUCAGUUGCGCAAUGUCUGAACCUAAAUAAAUAAAGACCGAUCCAUGUACUAAAAAGGAUGGAUACAAGCAAAUGAAAUAGGCACAUAUACUUGCAUAUUAAGAUAACAAAAUGAAAUAUACACUAACCUGGCUGAAACCCUUUACAAAUCACGAGCACCAGGAAUAUCUCGGACAAACCAACCACUGCUAGAACCAGUCUCCAAUCCUUUCACUAAUAGCACCUGCAUCAAUUUGGUAGGAAAAGGAAAAAACAAUAAGUAACACGCUUAGUAGUAACUCGGCGGAAGGGGAAAUCUGCCUACGUACGGACAACUGGAGAACGCGCACCAUGAGUUCUCAUCGAGUAGAGAAGAAAAGAUUAACAAUCUUGGUAAGGAAGAUCUCACCUGCAUCGGGUUUCCACCAAGACGGAUCUGAGGA